ACAACUUUCAACAAUGGAUCUCUUGGCUCUCGCAUCGAUGAAGAACGCAGCGAAAUGCGAUAAGUAAUGUGAAUUGCAAAAUUCAGUGAAUCAUCGAAUGUUUGAACGCAUCUUGCGCUCCUUGGUAUUCCUUGGAGCAUGCCUGUUUGAGUGUCAUUAAA
Molecule: ribosomal RNA, 161 nt
Filed under: Amanita magniverrucata
Lineage: Eukaryota; Fungi; Basidiomycota; Agaricomycetes; Agaricales; Amanitaceae
Description: 5.8S ribosomal RNA
Rfam family: 5.8S ribosomal RNA
About the family: 5.8S ribosomal RNA (5.8S rRNA) is a component of the large subunit of the eukaryotic ribosome.
Source: RNAcentral